This 2634-nucleotide unclassified non-coding RNA is filed under the name Leishmania donovani. RNAcentral describes it as "gene:LdHU3.34.1440(CDS-product:serine/threonine-p rotein_phosphatase_PP1_putative)". The record is from RNAcentral. Lineage: Eukaryota; Euglenozoa; Kinetoplastea; Trypanosomatida; Trypanosomatidae.
CACUCGGGUGACAAGAGUCCACAUAAUGCACGCAAAAUGCCGGCUGCUGCUGCUGCGGAGGCGGCAACAGCAUCGACCGCGGUAGCCGCGGCGGCGGCAGCGACGUCGACAUCCCCCACGGCGUACAUGACCCCCGAGGACGCCUCCAUCUACACACUAGUCACCAGCAUCUUGGCAGAGUGGCGCAGUGGCGUCACUCUACUGAAGGAGGAUAUCAUUCGCUUAAUCCUGCGUCGUGUGCGCCCCAUCCUCAUGAGCCAGCCGAUGCUCGUCCGCACCGAGGCGCCGAUCAACGUGUGCGGUGACAUACACGGCCAAAUCACAGACCUCGUCGAAAUCUUCAAGGCGGGCGGACUGCCUCCCCACUCGCGCUACCUCUUCCUCGGUGACUACGUGGACCGCGGCAAGUAUGGGACGGAGGUGAUCACGGUGCUGCUGGGGCUGAAGGUGUUGUACCCGAAGCGCAUAUAUGUUCUGCGCGGAAACCACGAGACGGACAGCAUUUGCCGCAUCUACGGCUUCUUUGACGAGGUGAAGCGCCGUUUCAACGUGCGCCUGUUCAAGGAGUUCACGGAUGUGUUCAACUGCCUUCCCGUGGCGGCGUUGAUAGAGGAGAUCGCGCUGUGCAUGCACGGCGGUCUCAGCCCCGAACUGCGCCACCUGCGUCAAAUUGAACAGAUCUACCGGCCGUUGCUGGUGCCUGAUGAGGGACUUGCCUGCGACCUUCUCUGGUCCGAUCCGGAGGAGGGGUCGUCUGGGUGGCAACCAAGCGAGCGCGGUGUCAGCUUUACGUUUGGCGAGGAUGUAGUGAAGCGCAUGUGCGACAGCCUCGGCAUCGACAUCGUUCUCCGAGCCCAUCAGGUGGUGGAUGAGGGCUACUCUUUCUUUGCCGGCAGGCGCCUCGUCACCAUCUUUAGCGCGUCCAACUACUGCGGCGAGUUCACCAACAGCGGCGCCAUGAUGCUGAUGGACGAAAACUGCAUGUGCAGCUUCCAAAUCUUUAAGCCUGAGUACUAAGAGCAGGAAGGUGUGUACGGGCGCGCGCACUUUCAACAAUGCAGGUCACUGCAGCAGCAGCAUCAGCAGCACCAGCAGCAGUGGCAGCUGCGGCGGAAACAGACCGCGGUGGAUGGGUGCUGGUUUGCUUCUCGGGGUCUGCGAGUGCAUGUCUGUGGGUGUUUUGUUCUCCAGUGACGACUUACUCCUCUUAAAACGCCACGCAGCCGCGCGUACGAGUUCAAAUAUUCACAGGCGCACACUGACAUAUACACACGUACACAUGCGCAAUGCACAUGCACACACCGACGUGCGUCUUGUUGCGCCUGUUCUGUUAAGCUGUCCUCUAUUUCUACUUUUUUUUCCCUCUUGACGUUGUGUCUAAUUCAGAAGCGACUGCGCCCCGUUGUGUGCCCUCCUCCCUCCCCCCACACACAUUACUGGUGUCUCUCUCGCUGCGGCUUGAAAGUGCCUUCAGCGCCCUCUUCUCCUCUCUUCCUCUCUUCCUCUCUUCUUUGCCCACGUUGUCUGUGCACUUGAGCCGGUGAGUCGAUGCGCCUUGUUCGCGCAAGAUGAUGGUACCUUGCAGAGAUUCCAUCUCUUCCCUUCUUGCUCGUUGUUUGCCUCGCUGUUAUGGUGUACCUGUGCCGUUGAUUUUGGUGCGCAGGGCAGCUGAUGAGAUACGGCGCAUCUGACGCCCCUCACCUUCCUCUUCUUUGUUUAGUGUAAGAUAUGUUGGCCGUUGCAGCCUGUGCGACGGUCGUGGGGGCGGUUCACAGGAACUAGCGGGGGCGGAGGGUAACAUAGAAAACGAACCGAAGUACAAGAAUUGCGACUGUGCUGUGCGGCGUGCAGCCGCUGUCUGCGCGCGUACGCCUGUUAACGUGUGUGUGUGUAGGUGCUCGGUACGUUUGGCAUCGAUUCGCUUGUAAGAACAAGAAGAAAGCGCUCAGGAACGGCAUUCCAUCACGUCCAAAAAGGGAACGGCGAAGCAGGGCAUGCGAAAAGCGCGAAGCGUGGGGCCUAAAACUCGGUUUCCCAUCACAACUCUACCCUCUUCUUCACGCUGUGUCGGUGGACGCGGAGCUCAUGUGUCUGGGUGAAAGUGCAUGCGUGGUGGUUGCGCUGGUGGGAAGGAAGGCAAGGACUCCUCACCGACUGUUGCUGGCGAUGUUGUGUUUUCUGGCGUCGUGCACAUUUCUGUUCAUCGGCUUGUCGCCGCUCGAUGUGUCGGCAUGUGCUUGCAGGCUCGUUGCAUGUUUCCAUGCGGACCAUCCGCGCACCCUGCAAACACAGAAGAAAAACCACCGUUGACUGUCGACUUCUCUGCUGAUGCUUCCACCCGCAUGAGAAGGAGGAAACGAAAAAGGAAAGCCGCGAUGCCGCGCGCUCUUUGCUCUACGGUAUCUUCACCUUGAACCGAUUUCCUCUUUCCCGUCUCUACGUUUAUUGAUGCUUGCGCUGGGCACAUUGCACACACGCACACACUCGUCCUGCCUGUCCCCGCAUAUGCGUACCCCCUCUCUCGGUGCCCGUGCGCUCGCGUGCGUGCCGCCUUCCCACCUCCAUCUUUUUUCGUCUCUCCCUUUCACCUCAUCACGCGCACGCUCCUUCCUUUGCAUGCUUCAAUUGGUGUAG